CAUAUGACUGUGCCCUGUAUGUGCCACCAAGCACAUCCAUGGUUCUGUGUGCUACUGCCAUCCUGAUGCAUGACACAGCCAUUCAUGUUACGUUUGGUGCCAUAUUAUACGUACACACACCUAAAUUAGUGUACAGAUGGAACCUGGUCGAGGUGAGGCUGGCACAGGGAUCGCUCUGCACUCUGGGCGAUGUCCAUGGAUGGAAGUGGGCCAGUGACAGAGGGGGCCAUGUUGCUCCAUGUGCUAUCCAGCUGUACUCCCGACCAGGUUCUUCACAAUAAACUGGCAGGACUGGUGGCACAUCUGCAUGUGAAAUAAUGCUGGGACUGCUGCUUCCUGAGGCCCUCUGGCUGUAAGGUCAAGACUCACUAAUGAACAUGGAAAAAUUACUCCAGCUACAGAAGCAAUUGUCUGAUAGUAGGAGGACAAG
Long non-coding RNA from Corapipo altera (White-ruffed manakin), 430 nucleotides. RefSeq lists it as uncharacterized. NCBI's taxonomy places the organism in Eukaryota, Metazoa, Chordata, Aves, Passeriformes, Pipridae. The transcript is spliced from 2 exons. The record is from RefSeq and is a predicted model, not a curated record.